This 485-nucleotide ribosomal RNA is filed under the name uncultured bacterium. Its description in RNAcentral is "partial 16S ribosomal RNA". It matches the Rfam family "Bacterial small subunit ribosomal RNA", at positions 899 to 1397 of the family's 1533-position model. The record is from RNAcentral.
ACUCAAAUGAAUUGACGGGGACCCACACAAGCGGUGGAACAUGGGGUUUAAUUCGAUGGUAAACGGAGAACCUCACCCAGGCUUGACAUCUAAGGAAUGCCCCUGAAAGGGGGCAGUGCCGCAAGGAACCUUAAGACAGGCGAUGCACGGUCGUCGUCAGCUCGUGCCUUGAGGUGUACUGUUAAGUCAGCGAACGAGCGCAACCCUCAUCCUAUGUUGUUUUUUCAUGGGAGACUGCCGCCUCCAAGGCGGAGGAAGGUGGGGAUGACGUCAGAUCAGCGUGUCCUUUAUGCCUGGGGCUACACCCAUGUUACAAUGGUCGAUACAAAGAGCAGCGAAGCCGCAAGGUGGAGCCAAUCUCAUCAAAAUCGACCUCAGUUCGGAUUGCCGGCUGCAACUCGCCGGCAUGAAGUUGGAAUCGCUAGUAACCGUAGGUCAGCGAUACUACGGUGAAUAAGUUCCUGGGUCUUGUACACACCGCCCGU